GACGAACGCUGGCGGCGUGCUUAACACAUGCAAGUCGAACGGUGAAGCGCCUUCCUUUUUGGUGGGUGUGGAUGAGUGGCGAACGGGCGAGUAACACGUGAGUAGCCUGCCCCCUUCUUCUGGAUAACCGCAUGAAAGUGUGGCUAAUACGGGAUAUUCUGGGUCUGUCGCAUGAUGGGUCUGGGAAAGAUAUUGUUUCGGUGGGGGAUGGGCUCGCGGCCUAUCAGCUUGUUGGUGGGGUGAUGGCCUACCAAGGCGGUGACGGGUAGCCGGCCUGAGAGGGUGGACGGUCACACUGGGACUGAGACACGGCCCAGACUCCUACGGGAGGCAGCAGUGGGGAAUAUUGCACAAUGGGCGCAAGCCUGAUGCAGCGACGCCGCGUGAGGGAUGGAGGCCUUCGGGUUGUGAACCUCUUUCGCCAGUGAAGCAGGCCUGCCUCGUUUGUGGGUGGGUUGACGGUAGCUGGAUAAGAAGCGCCGGCUAACUACGU
This 493-nucleotide ribosomal RNA is filed under the name uncultured bacterium. RNAcentral's name for it is "partial 16S ribosomal RNA". It matches the Rfam family "Bacterial small subunit ribosomal RNA", at positions 28 to 506 of the family's 1533-position model. The record is from RNAcentral.